CAUUCUACAAAAAUGGAUACAACUAUGGUAGCAAACUUAAACCCUGGUGAUGGAGACAAGCCAAUAGAAAUAAAAGUCAUUAGGAAAUGGUUAUCAUAUGGGAAAAAAGCUGAAUGUUGCUACAUAUUCCUUGAUAAAAGUGUGAGUGCAGUCACCAUAAUAUUACAUGCAAUUGUCAAUUAUAAUCAAUUCUUUGUUAGAUACUUAUACAUAUACAUAUAAAACCAUUCAUUUUUGGCAGGGAGAUGCAAUAGAAGCAUGUGGUUGCUUGGGAGAUAAAGGCUACUUUGAUUCGAUAAUCAGGAUGGAUGGUUGUUACUCUGUAAGCAACUACGUGUGUGACAAUGCAAAUACUUUCUUUGUUACUGUCCCACACAAAACCAAAAUCAAGCUAGGCAGGGCAACAAAAUUUGAAGAAAUACGUGAUGAUGGAUUUCCUGUGUACUACUUCAAUUUUCUUGCAUAUGGUCAAUUAGGUGCAAGGCUUGAUAACCAUAAGACACUCACAUG
RNAcentral lists this long non-coding RNA (510 nucleotides) under Lactuca sativa (garden lettuce). Its description in RNAcentral is "long non-coding RNA (LSAT_LNC000897)". The record is from RNAcentral. Lineage: Eukaryota; Viridiplantae; Streptophyta; Magnoliopsida; Asterales; Asteraceae.